RNAcentral lists this ribosomal RNA (451 nucleotides) under uncultured bacterium. RNAcentral describes it as "partial 16S ribosomal RNA". It matches the Rfam family "Bacterial small subunit ribosomal RNA", at positions 329 to 794 of the family's 1533-position model. The record is from RNAcentral.
CGCCAGACUCCUACGGGAGGCAGCAGUGGGGAAUAUUGGGCAAUGGGCGCAAGCCUGACCCAGCAACGCCGCGUGAAGGAAGAAGGCUUUCGGGUUGUAAACUUCUUUUCUCAGGGACGAAGAAAGUGACGGUACCUGAGGAAUAAGCCACGGCUAACUACGUGCCAGCAGCCGCGGUAAUACGUAGGUGGCAAGCGUUAUCCGGAUUUACUGGGUGUAAAGGGCGUGUAGGCGGGAGUGCAAGUCAGAUGUGAAAACCACGGGCUCAACCUGUGGCCUGCAUUGGAAACUGGCGGGCUGGAGUGCCGGAGAGGCAGGCGGAACUCCUAGUGUAGCGGUGAAAUGCGUAGAUAUUAGGAGGAACACCAGUGGCGAAGGCGGCCUGCUGGACGACAACUGACGGUGAGGCGCGAAAGCGUGGGGAGCAAACAGGAUUAGAUACCCUUGUACC